Megalopta genalis is the source of this 1906-nucleotide non-coding RNA. The record is from RefSeq and is a predicted model, not a curated record. NCBI's taxonomy places the organism in Eukaryota, Metazoa, Arthropoda, Insecta, Hymenoptera, Halictidae.
GUCCGGUCCGCAGCCUCGAUUAAUCGAGACAAGUUACUCACUGUCUUGAUAUGUCAGACGCGUUUAAUCGCCGCCGAGCGAGAGACUUUGUUUGUCCGCCGGUGCGCAUUCGAUGAAUCUUCCCGUCCGGUCGCGUCGCGUCGGGUCGCGUCGGGUCGUAUCGGGUCGCGUCGGUUCUAAGCGCUCCCAUAAUUCAUACUCGUCGCAUCGGAAUGCGACAGCGCGGCACCGCGGUAAAUUUUCACUCGGGAAUUCAUUCUCGAUGGUGCGAUCUUUUCUGUAUCCAAUUCUCCGACCGAUACGACGCUAGGUUUGCAGUCGGUUUUUACGUCGUAAAUUUCAAAAAGGUUCGGAUUGUUUAAUUUACGACUGUUACUCUUGCGAGGCUACAUUAACCGGUGUUCGGGAUUUUUAUUUUGCCGUCGAUUUCGACGAUCGAGGCGAGGUUCGGCCGAACAUUAUCCAGUCAAAGAUACGCAUCUAAGCGACCAGCAUUUUUUUUAUGAAAAAGGAACUUGUUCUCGCAGGUUUUUAUAUCCCAAUCUGUGGAAACGUGAAUACCGACCAACUUUUGAUGUAAACAUUUUCUUGUAAAUUCGAUAUUUUUCCAGAUAUUUUGUUUCGUCUAUUAACUCGCACGAAGCCAUUUUAAUUCUGAAUCAACAAAUCAUUUCUUUUGAUCUAUACAGUAUUUCUGUUUCGUAUGACUUGUUGCAUUUUGUGCAUACGAAAUUGAGCCUUGUGACUGGACAAUUACACUUUUAACAGUUUUAUUUUUAGAUAUAAACAGGUUGGACAGUGUAAACAUUAUUCUGAUACACCAUAUAACAAUUUUUACCUCAGAGUCGCCACUCGAUUGCAAAGUAUUAAAAUGACAAGGUUACCUACUUCCGGAAGGUAUUCUAUUUCAUUUAAGAACAUCGCGUUACAAAAAUAUGUUUGGAACAGAAGCUGUACAUUUUUCACGUAGGAUAUGAUUCCGAAAGAAAAAAUAUAGGUUACGAUAAAAAAGAAAGACAACGUUAUUUUCCGUACCUUGACAUAACCUUGAAAACGUCCACGCAUUGAAAAACUAGUAGCGCCAUUUGACUCUCCGCUUGAAACACUAGAGGACAUGUGUCGAUUUGGUUAUUUUUUAGUCACGUGUAUUCGGGAUUGUCCACACGGGACCGGUGAACAAUCAAGGAGAUCGCAGCCGAUUUCGGCGCAAUUUUAUAAUCGAGGUUCGGCCGACGACGGUUUGAUUGGGAGGGACGGGCCUACCAUCUCUGAGCGAACGCAUUACUCGAUUACUCCGAGCUCCUUGUUUUGCACAGGAGAACGUCUUUGGGCGAUGUGGUCACGUGACGAGUGGCAGGCAUCUCGCUCUCGCCCGGUCAGCCUCCUUUGCUCUCUUCGUUACGAACCGUGCGAGUGUCAACACGUGCCGUGUUAUUCGAGCUGUUAAAGAUGUUCACAAAUUUCAAGGGCAUCGAAGCAUUUUAAAAUGGAACGAUAUCAUUUUAUUAGCGAUGCAGGAAAGAUAGAAAUGAUCGUGGAGCAUGGCGAGGCUAAAAGUAACUCGAAACAAGGGGUUGUCCAUCGCGGAGCAGUUUUAUAUUACAGCGACUUAAUUUGGACAAAUCGCCUGUAACAAUACGUUGUUACAAUACCAGACUGCAAUUAUUUAUUUUAUAAUUUUAUUGUUUAUUAUUAUUACGAUAUCAGAAUGUCAAAGUUAUGACAUUAUGGGGCUGCAAUUAUGUCAUAAUGUAUUAUUAUGUAAUUUGGACAAGUUGCCUGUAGCAAUACGUUGUUACAAUACCAGACUGCAAUUAUUUAUUUUAUAAUUUUAUUGUUUAUUAUUAUUACGAUGUCAGAAUGUCAAAGUUAUGUCGAGGUGUCAUUUCAAAAAUCUUAGAAAGUA